This 492-nucleotide ribosomal RNA is filed under the name uncultured bacterium. RNAcentral describes it as "partial 16S ribosomal RNA". It matches the Rfam family "Bacterial small subunit ribosomal RNA", at positions 29 to 507 of the family's 1533-position model. The record is from RNAcentral.
AGUGAACGCUGGCGGUAGGCCUAACACAUGCAAGUCGAACGGCAGCACAGUAAGAGCUUGCUCUUACGGGUGGCGAGUGGCGGACGGGUGAGGAAUACAUCGGAAUCUACUUUUUCGUGGGGGAUAACGUAGGGAAACUUACGCUAAUACCGCAUACGACCUACGGGUGAAAGCAGGGGAUCUUCGGACCUUGCGCGAUUGAAUGAGCCGAUGUCGGAUUAGCUAGUUGGCGGGGUAAAGGCCCACCAAGGCGACGAUCCGUAGCUGGUCUGAGAGGAUGAUCAGCCACACUGGAACUGAGACACGGUCCAGACUCCUACGGGAGGCAGCAGUGGGGAAUAUUGGACAAUGGGCGCAAGCCUGAUCCAGCCAUACCGCGUGGGUGAAGAAGGCCUUCGGGUUGUAAAGCCCUUUUGUUGGGAAAGAACAGCAGCAGGUUAAUACCCCGCUGUUCUGACGGUACCCAAUGAAUAAGCACCGGCUAACUUCGUG